UAUCGCGUCAAAUUGGGUGUGGUGUGUGGAAAUGCACUUCAUAUCACAGCCAUAUUUGACGAGUUCCG
This 68-nucleotide microRNA precursor is filed under the name Folsomia candida. RNAcentral describes it as "mir-2 microRNA precursor family". It matches the Rfam family "mir-2 microRNA precursor family". From Rfam's summary of the family: The miRNAs are transcribed as ~70nt precursors (modelled here) and subsequently processed by the Dicer enzyme to give a ~22nt product. In this case the mature sequence comes from the 3' arm of the precursor. The record is from Rfam by way of RNAcentral. Lineage: Eukaryota; Metazoa; Arthropoda; Collembola; Entomobryomorpha; Isotomidae.